This 68-nucleotide transfer RNA is filed under the name Marmota monax (woodchuck). RNAcentral's name for it is "tRNA.Ala". The record is from RNAcentral. Lineage: Eukaryota; Metazoa; Chordata; Mammalia; Rodentia; Sciuridae.
GGAUUGUGGCUUAGCGGUAGAGCGCUCGCCUAGCACGAGCGGGGACCCAGGUUCGAUCCUCAGCACCA